RNAcentral lists this ribosomal RNA (392 nucleotides) under Chlamydomonas sp. MACC 285. Its description in RNAcentral is "SSU rRNA". It matches the Rfam family "Eukaryotic small subunit ribosomal RNA", at positions 613 to 1003 of the family's 1831-position model. The record is from RNAcentral. Lineage: Eukaryota; Viridiplantae; Chlorophyta; Chlorophyceae; Chlamydomonadales; Chlamydomonadaceae.
ACACAAGUGGUUUGCAGUUAAAAGCUCGUAGUUGGAUUUCGGGUGGGAUGGUGCGGUCCGCCUCUGGUGUGCACUGCUCCGCUCCACCUUCCUGCCGGGGACGGGCUCCUGGGCUUCACUGUCUGGGACUCGGAGUCGGCGAGGUUACUUUGAGUAAAUUAGAGUGUUCAAAGCAGGCCUACGCUCUGAAUACAUUAGCAUGGAAUAACACGAUAGGACUCUGGCUUAUCUGUUGGUCUGUGAGACUGGAGUAAUGAUUAAGAGGGGUAGUCGGGGGCAUUCGUAUUCCGUUGUCAGAGGUGAAAUUCUUGGAUUUACGGAAGACGAACAUCUGCGAAAGCAUUUGCCAAGGAUACUUUCAUUGAUCAAGAACGAAAGUUGGGGGCUCGAAG